UAACAGGGAUUUAGAUACCCUGGUAGUCCACGCCGUAAACGAUGUCUAUUUGAAGGUUGUUCCCUUGAGGAGUGGCUUUCGGAGCUAACGCGUUAAAUAGACCGCCUGGGGAGUACGGCCGCAAGGUUAAAACUCAAAUGAAUUGACGGGGGCCCGCACAAGCGGUGGAGCAUGUGGUUUAAUUCGAUGCAACGCGAAGAACCUUACCUACUCUUGACAUCCAGAGAAUUUAGCAGAGAUGCUUUGGUGCCUUCGGGAACUGUGAGACAGGUGCUGCAUGGCUGUCGUCAGCUCGUGUUGUGAAAUGUUGGGUUAAGUCCCGCAACGAGCGCAACCCUUAUCCUUUGUUGCCAGCGGUUCGGCCGGGAACUCAAAGGAGACUGCCAGUGAUAAACUGGAGGAAGGUGGGGAUGACGUCAAGUCAUCAUGGCCCUUACGAGUAGGGCUACACACGUGCUACAAUGGCAUAUACAAAGAGAAGCGACCUCGCGAGAGCAAGCGGACCUCAUAAAGUAUGUCGUAGUCCGGAUUGGAGUCUGCAACUCGACUCCAUGAAGUCGGAAUCGCUAGUAAUCGUAGAUCAGAAUGCUACGGUGAAUACGUUCCCGGGCCUUGUACACACCGCCCGUCACACCAUGGGAGUGGGUUGCAAAAGAAGUAGGUAGUGUAAC
Molecule: ribosomal RNA, 671 nt
Filed under: bacterium YG-32
Lineage: Bacteria
Description: bacterial SSU rRNA
Rfam family: Bacterial small subunit ribosomal RNA
Source: RNAcentral